CACCUCUCUCUGACCCCAGACACAUUGGGAGGGAGCGGAACCGAGCUGUGGCCUGGGGUUCCGUGGAGCAGGUUGAGUGUGGAGGAACUGGGGUUCCGUGGAGCAGGUGGGGCGCGGAGGAACCGAGCUGUGGCCUGGGAUUCCGUGGAGCAGAACUCCAACACCUCCGAGAGGACUGAAAACACAGUGACCAGCUCCUACGUGCAUUUCCUGGACAAACCUUUUUUUUUU
Molecule: long non-coding RNA, 231 nt
Filed under: Pan troglodytes (chimpanzee)
Lineage: Eukaryota; Metazoa; Chordata; Mammalia; Primates; Hominidae
Description: long non-coding RNA NONPTRT000012
Source: RNAcentral